RNAcentral lists this small RNA (125 nucleotides) under Marmota monax (woodchuck). Lineage: Eukaryota; Metazoa; Chordata; Mammalia; Rodentia; Sciuridae. The record is from RNAcentral.
GCUGGGCAUGGUGGUGCAUGCCUGUAAUCCCAGGGGCUUAAGAGACUGAGGCAGGAGGAUUGUGAGUUCAAAGCCAGCCUCAGCAAAAGUGAGGUGCUAAGCAACUCAGUGAGACCCUGUCUUUA